Molecule: ribosomal RNA, 253 nt
Filed under: uncultured bacterium
Lineage: Bacteria
Description: partial 16S ribosomal RNA
Rfam family: Bacterial small subunit ribosomal RNA
Source: RNAcentral
GACGUAGGGCGCGAGCGUUGUCCGGAAUUACUGGGCGUAAAGAGCGUGUAGGCGGCCAGAUAGGUCCGUUGUGAAAACUCGAGGCUCAACCUCGAGACGCCGAUGGAAACCAUUUGGCUAGAGUCCGGAAGAGGAGAGUGGAAUUCCUGGUGUAGCGGUGAAAUGCGUAGAUAUCAGGAGGAACACCAAUAGCGAAGGCAGCUCGCUGGGACGUUACUGACACUGAGGCGCGAAAGCGUGGGGAGCGAACAGG